RNAcentral lists this non-coding RNA (169 nucleotides) under human gut metagenome. The record is from RNAcentral.
AUAGGUGUUGAUUCAUGGAGAUGAAUCAGGAAUGAGGUGAGAAUCCUCAACAGGGCCGCUGCUGUGAGAACGAGCCGCUUCUCAGAAUUUUGUGUUCAGCCACUGAUGGUUUCAUUGGGAAGGCGAGAAGUUGCGUUGGAUGUUCGAGUCAGAAUACGCGCCUAUGGGA